RNAcentral lists this long non-coding RNA (1418 nucleotides) under Equus caballus (horse). RNAcentral describes it as "lncRNA (ENSECAG00000050178.1)". The record is from RNAcentral. Lineage: Eukaryota; Metazoa; Chordata; Mammalia; Perissodactyla; Equidae.
AGGAGUUGCCUGAUAGGUUGGAGAAAGCACAAGGAAGCCAGGGCUGCUGGAACAGAGUGAAUGAGGCGAUCAUGUAGAGUCUUAUAAGCCAUUGCAAAGACUUUGGCUUUGACUUUGAGGUAGAUGAGAAGCUAUUAAGAAAGUUUGAGCAGAAGGAUGACAUGAUCUGAUUUUUCAUUUUAACCAAAGCAACUCUGUAUGCUGUGUUGAAAAUAAGCUACAAUGGGACUUGCAUUGCAGGAAAACCAGUUAGGAGGCUGCUGUAAUAAUCCAGGUGAGAGAUGAUGGUGGCUCGGACCAUGGUGGUAGUAAGGGAGGUGCUGAGAAGAGGUUAGAAUCUAGUUAUAUUUUGGAGGAGAUUGAACAGAAUUUACUGAUAAAUUGGAUGUGAAGUAUUUGAGAAAGGGAGGAAUCAAAGGUGACACCAAGGUUCUGGGCCUGAGCAACUGGAAGAAUGGAGAUGCAGUUUACUAACAUAGUGAGGACUACAGGAGUAGCAGGUUUCAGCAGUGGGCACAGGUGGAGAAGGGAAUUCCAAUGUUGAAAAUUGAGAGAGGUAAGGAUAAAGCUGCAGUGGAGAUUGAGGAGGAGAGGCCAGUGAGGUGGAAGAGGAUCAGGAGUGGAUGGAGUACCAGACACCAGCUGAAGCACAUAUUUCCAGGAGGAGGAAGUGGUACACAGUGUGAAAUGCUUCUGCUGACGUUAUGCUGCCAACAUGAUGCUGUUGAUCACAGAGUUGGAAAGAGUUGCUACCAAUUGGUCCCUGUGAACGAGUGUGAGCUGUCUCCAUCACACCACUGCAGGAAACGAUGACAAACAACAAAAACAAAAAGGUAUGGAAAACUCUCCAGCAGUCACCCACUCCCUACCCCCAAGAUUAGCCCACUCCUCUACGUCUCUUUGGCAAGAUAUUCUGGGACACAGUGAGAAAAAGGAGGACGGAAGUGGGAAUGGUCAGUCAAUCGGAGCCUCAUGAAAGCAAAGCAGAGCAUUACAUUUCAGAAGACAAGAAGGCCACAUAACAAGUCAACCUCCAUCACCUCCAAAGACUUCAUUUAAUAAAAGUUGAAUCAUUUUCACCCGCCCAUAGCAGUUAAAAAACAAAAUUAAUAUAAUAAUAGAAAUUCCUCUGCUUGUCAGUUGGAUGUCUUGAGCAGUGAGGAUAUGUGUGAUUCGUGUCUCAGAUGAGAAACCCUGUGAAUCUUGAACUUUAGUAGAGAAGUUAAAUCACCUUUGUUGGCUCCUCCUUUGGCCAAACUCCAAUUGCUGCAAUGUCUUGGGACUUAGUUCUGGUCCUCUUUUUCUCUCUGUCAUCACCCUUGCUUUCUCCCUAGGUUCUUCCAUCCAGCCCCUGGCUUAAAUUGCCAUCUAUAUCUUGAUAACACCUAAAUUUAUAUCUCUGGCCCAGAUUUCUCCCU